Long non-coding RNA from Pimephales promelas (fathead minnow), 592 nucleotides. RefSeq lists it as uncharacterized. The record is from RefSeq and is a predicted model, not a curated record. NCBI's taxonomy places the organism in Eukaryota, Metazoa, Chordata, Actinopteri, Cypriniformes, Leuciscidae.
AUUUGGUACUGCAGACAAAUAGGUUAUGGGAAACUUCUCAACCCCUCCUUCCUCCCUCUCUCCCCCUCUCACUGGCUCUCGCUUAUACGGUAGCUGUCGUGCUCGUGCGCUUGGACUGCGCUCUUGUGAGAAUCAGAGCCGCUGAGGCACGCGCAAUCAACUGAGUAUUAGCGGCAAUUUUAAACCGAAAGCUCCUCGUGCACGCCGGCGUCUUUACCUACAGCAGGAGUUGCAUCUGGUCACGUCGGCUUCGGCAUAAUUAAAAAAAAAAACCUUUGCUCAAGGCUGAAGGAAAAUGUGACCGUUACUUACACACUUGAAUUGAGCAUGUGGGACCUGGUAUCAAUGUUAUCAAAUGAUAAACCAACAUGAGUGGUGCUUCUGAGGAGAUGCGUUGCUCUUUGCUGUGAGGAUGAAAGGUUGCGAGAGCUCUCCAGCACAUGCCACCUUCAUUAGUUUCCAGCACCUGAAGACACAAGGACACAAACCCAACUAACUGACCAUUUCAUUCAGCUUUGCUGACGUGGAAAGAUGACCACUGUGACCUAACGUUACAGAACAGUCUGACAGCACAUUAUAAGCGCCACACAAA